CUGCCCGCCCAUUGGCGCCGUGAAGCCCCACCCCUGCUCCGCCGGUGUAGUGCGGGCCGCUGGGGCGAUUCCACGUGUAACGGACUGUGGCCCGGUAAAGGUCAGGCGGAGGCAUUUCUUCUGCCCACCCUCCAGAGGGUUCCUGCAUUCCUCCGACUGCAAGUUGGGAAGUAUAAUAGUAUAAAGAAAAAAUGUUGCCUGCCAGUCCUGUUCGCCGAGGAUCAAGCCCUGAGCCACUGUACUUGCCCACCCACCGUGUGCCCUGAGGGGAAUUCAGAAUGGAGAAAAACAGGAAACAUUCUGUACUAUAGAUAUACUGGCUUCAGUUAAGCUGUAUCUCUAAGGAAAAUUCUCAACUGACCCCAUAUUCUUGCAUCUUCUCUUUCAUAGAAUGACACUAAAAGCAUUAAUUUGAGAUGUCUGUUCUUUGCGAUUAGCAGCAAUCUUUUGAUGCUUGACUAGAUGUCUUUCCCCUCAAAAGAGUUCAUAUAUAUCCUAGCUUGUUCCUUACCUCUUGAGAGCAGAUCCUCAGAGCCGAGAAGCUGUCUCCUCCACUAUAGUCCCCAGUAAGUUCCCUUAAUAAAACUUUUAACUCACAACUUCUAUGUUGUACGUUUUUCUUUUAGUCAGCAGUAAGGAAUUUUAAUUCUUCUCAUGACGAAACAGCCAAAAACACUGGAGCUGGCCUUGGAUCCCUCGUUUCCAAGACUGGCCUACGUGCAGCCUCUGAUUGCUCCAUUCUGCAAGCUGCAUCGUCUACAAUACACAUUCACUUGUAUAUGAGUCCCACCAAGAUUUUAUGGGCAGCCCAGUUCAAAUACCACUUUACCUGUGCGGUUUGUGAAAUCAGCCAUCAUUCAAGACAGGAAAAAGCACUCCCAAAAAACUGACCCACUAACAAAGGAAACAAACAGAUAAGCCCCAUAUGAUUCUGCCCUUAUACCUUUUCUCCUAUAUAAGACUGUUCAGUGAAUGGCUAUUGAUCAGAUGGGUAAGUGAAUGUAGGACUGUCAUUUUUAAAAUUCCUUCUCCCAUUUGUGCC
RNAcentral lists this long non-coding RNA (1042 nucleotides) under Sus scrofa (pig). RNAcentral describes it as "lncRNA (ENSSSCG00005010353.1)". The record is from RNAcentral. Lineage: Eukaryota; Metazoa; Chordata; Mammalia; Artiodactyla; Suidae.